CCUCUCUCAGCAUCCUGCGCUGUCAUUGGGCAGCGGACACGCUCUCUCUCCUCCUCUACACACCAGGGAGCAGCAUCACCACUACUGCAAGUGGCAGCCGGCAGGAGGGGAUGGGCGGAGGAGAUGCGUAUUCAGAUUGCCAACAUUAUAAAUCACAUUUGCCGGAGGGAAACCACAGAUCCAGCAAGCAGCUCUGACAGAGCAACUUCUGUCGCAGCAUGAAUCAAUCUAAACUCACGACAUCACACACUGUGACUUCACCAUGAGCCCCAACUCCUCAGACCUGCCAUCCUCAAGCUGUCCACCAGAUGCCCUCAGACUUUCCCUCCUUUUGCCAUCACCUGACCACCAAUCUAAACACCUGUUCCCACUUCUCUCAUCAGCCCUGCAGUUACCUGGC
Molecule: long non-coding RNA, 400 nt
Organism: Siniperca chuatsi (mandarin fish)
Lineage: Eukaryota; Metazoa; Chordata; Actinopteri; Centrarchiformes; Sinipercidae
Exons: 3
Source: RefSeq, a predicted model, not a curated record